GGAUUAGAGAUGUCAUAACCAUCUAUUGGCAUCGACUAUAACCUUUAG
RNAcentral lists this transfer RNA (48 nucleotides) under Dicksonia karsteniana. Its description in RNAcentral is "partial tRNA-Gly". The record is from RNAcentral. Lineage: Eukaryota; Viridiplantae; Streptophyta; Polypodiopsida; Cyatheales; Dicksoniaceae.